UUCAACUCUGAAUGAAGUCUAAAUGUGGAGC
RNAcentral lists this non-coding RNA (31 nucleotides) under Mus musculus (house mouse). Lineage: Eukaryota; Metazoa; Chordata; Mammalia; Rodentia; Muridae. The record is from RNAcentral.